This 496-nucleotide ribosomal RNA is filed under the name uncultured bacterium. Its description in RNAcentral is "partial 16S ribosomal RNA". It matches the Rfam family "Bacterial small subunit ribosomal RNA", at positions 29 to 507 of the family's 1533-position model. The record is from RNAcentral.
AUGAACGCUGGCGGCGUGCCUAAUACAUGCAAGUCGAGCGAACGGACGAGAAGCUUGCUUCUCUGAUGUUAGCGGCGGACGGGUGAGUAACACGUGGAUAACCUACCUAUAAGACUGGGAUAACUUCGGGAAACCGGAGCUAAUACCGGAUGAUAUUUUGAACCGCAUGGUUCAAAAGUGAAAGACGGUCUUGCUGUCACUUAUAGAUGGAUCCGCGCUGCAUUAGCUAGUUGGUAAGGUAACGGCUUACCAAGGCAACGAUGCAUAGCCGACCUGAGAGGGUGAUCGGCCACACUGGAACUGAGACACGGUCCAGACUCCUACGGGAGGCAGCAGUAGGGAAUCUUCCGCAAUGGGCGAAAGCCUGACGGAGCAACGCCGCGUGAGUGAUGAAGGUCUUCGGAUCGUAAAACUCUGUUAUUAGGGAAGAACAUAUGUGUAAGUAACUGUGCACAUCUUGACGGUACCUAACCAGAAAGCCACGGCUAACUACGUG